RNAcentral lists this long non-coding RNA (1295 nucleotides) under Lonchura striata (white-rumped munia). Its description in RNAcentral is "domestica (Bengalese finch) lncRNA (ENSLSDG00000009968.1)". The record is from RNAcentral. Lineage: Eukaryota; Metazoa; Chordata; Aves; Passeriformes; Estrildidae.
CAGGAGGGGCCGCCCCGCAAAGCCGGCCCCGAUGGCGCCGCGCCCAUCGCCCCGCCGCCGCGGCAGCCCUGCUCCUCGCUGGGGCCGCUGCUCAGUGAAUCCAGGCCCCUUGUGUGCGAAAGGUACAGGGUUGUGGUAUCCUAUCCUCCUCAGAGCGAAGCAGAACUUGAACUUAAGGAAGGUGACAUUGUUUUUGUCCACAAGAAGCGUGAGGAUGGCUGGUUCAAAGGCACUCUGCAGCGAAAUGGAAAGACUGGCCUUUUCCCUGGCAGCUUUGUAGAGAAUAUUUGAGAAGAUUCAUUCCAAGAGCUUCAGAUCAUACUGUACUGUAAAAUAGCACAAAUACUUUGCCAGAAAAAGCACAGUCAUGAAAUAUUUUCAAAUGACUGUAAUGUAAACAAAAAGCUACAUAUUUUUACAGUGUCUAUAGCACAAUUACACCAGCGAACAAAGGAGAUGAAGGCAUCUGCUGGUUUUAUCACUUUGAAUUCUUAAGUGUGAUGUGUGCCUUGUACUGUCUGAUUUAUUAUAUAGAGGAUUUUUCCCCCAAGUAUGUUACAUAAAUGAGCAAUUGUUUACAAGGCUGUAACUAAUUUAUUCUUGUUUUCUUUUUAAACUUGAAUUUUGUGUAAUAGCUAAAAUUCUUGUGACUAUGAUUUUAACAAAUUAUUAAUUUAUGAAAGAAUAACAAAGGGGAAGCUGGAUUCUCUCCUUAUGAGCAAUCAAUUAUAUCUGAUAAAGAGCCUCCCAUUUAUCCUCCGGACAUUUUUCCCCUGCUGUGUCUGACAGUGGAGUAAGUCUCUGUUGUAUGAGUUAAUGUUGAGUGGUGGUGAUGUGGCGUCAAAUAGAAUUUGCCAAAUGGGGAAAAAAUGUGUAUUUUCUUCUUUGGACAGAGAAAAAAAAAAAAAAAAAAGUCAGUGGUGUUCUUGAGUCUAGUUUUACUUCUUCACGAAUCACCUAAGUAGAGUAAUGUUUCCAGGAGGCAAAGAUGUAUGUGAACAACUGAACAAAACCAUCUCGAGGUUAGGAUCAUCUCAAGGUUAGAAAAGAAGAAAUUUAGGAGUGCCAACAAGAAAUUCCCUAUAUAUCCUCUAGUCAUGUAAUAGCUUGGCUAUUUGAACAAAGGUUAGCUUUGUGUAUUUGGCCAGUUCUUUGGGCAUUUAGUGCUCAGGAUCCAACAAAAUUGGAAGGAAUGUUAAAGCCCAACACUUAGAAUGAACAUAACUUGAAAACAUCUGUUUGAUAAGACUGAAUAUAAAAAUAAAUUUAUAAGUUGUACUUAAUGUCUAAAAAUG